Non-coding RNA from Pelobates cultripes (western spadefoot toad), 655 nucleotides. The record is from the annotation of a GenBank genome assembly. NCBI's taxonomy places the organism in Eukaryota, Metazoa, Chordata, Amphibia, Anura, Pelobatidae.
CGUUUUUCUGUAGUUCACUAUGGAAAAGUUACUUGCAACUUUGGCAUUUGACCAAAGAUCUCGGGUGUUAAAUAGUUGGAAACCAUGUUGAAUUGGCUUUGGUAAUGCAAAGUGGGAGGGGGGCCACAUAAUGAAUCACUGCUGUCUGUAUGUAUAAAACCAAUUGGAGCUCUAUUAGAUGCAAGGCUAAAUUCCAUGUGUUAGUAUUUAGAAUUGUCCCGGUAAUAUAUAAAACAAACACCAUUGCAAAGUCCACAACUUGCUUUAUGUGGAGUGAACUGGUAUCUGAGGUGCGUAUAAAGGGUUUUUAUUUUCUUCCUUCCCAGAAGUGAGAUGUGUAAGUGUUUGGAGAGUUUGUGCAAAGCUAAAUUUGUUUUAAAACUUCUGAAUUUCUUGUAUGCAUGGUGCACAGUUUGCUUCACUUCUGAAUUUCCUUUAUAAGUUUAAUUUGUUUUGGAUUGCACCAACUGACAUGCAGAGGCUUUUGUAGUAUGUGAGGAAGGACUAGGCUGCAGACACAUGGGUUAUCGUGCUGGAAUGGCUUGUAUAAGAACCAGAGGACUGCGGCAAAAUGGCGCCACUAAAACCGCAUGCAGUGAUUAUGUUGCAUGACUGACCCAUAAUUGGUUAAGAUGCAAAAUGUGUGUAUAUAUAU